This 1514-nucleotide ribosomal RNA is filed under the name Salmonella enterica subsp. enterica serovar Paratyphi A. Its description in RNAcentral is "bacterial SSU rRNA". It matches the Rfam family "Bacterial small subunit ribosomal RNA". The record is from RNAcentral. Lineage: Bacteria; Pseudomonadati; Pseudomonadota; Gammaproteobacteria; Enterobacterales; Enterobacteriaceae.
ACGAAAAAUGAAUACCAAGUCUCAAGAGUGAACACGUAAUUCAUUACGAAGUUUAAUUCAUUGAGCAUCAAACUUUUAAAUUGAAGAGUUUGAUCAUGGCUCAGAUUGAACGCUGGCGGCAGGCCUAACACAUGCAAGUCGAACGGUAACAGGAAGCAGCUUGCUGCUUUGCUGACGAGUGGCGGACGGGUGAGUAAUGUCUGGGAAACUGCCUGAUGGAGGGGGAUAACUACUGGAAACGGUGGCUAAUACCGCAUAACGUCGCAAGACCAAAGAGGGGGACCUUCGGGCCUCUUGCCAUCAGAUGUGCCCAGAUGGGAUUAGCUUGUUGGUGAGGUAACGGCUCACCAAGGCGACGAUCCCUAGCUGGUCUGAGAGGAUGACCAGCCACACUGGAACUGAGACACGGUCCAGACUCCUACGGGAGGCAGCAGUGGGGAAUAUUGCACAAUGGGCGCAAGCCUGAUGCAGCCAUGCCGCGUGUAUGAAGAAGGCCUUCGGGUUGUAAAGUACUUUCAGCGGGGAGGAAGGUGUUGUGGUUAAUAACCGCAGCAAUUGACGUUACCCGCAGAAGAAGCACCGGCUAACUCCGUGCCAGCAGCCGCGGUAAUACGGAGGGUGCAAGCGUUAAUCGGAAUUACUGGGCGUAAAGCGCACGCAGGCGGUCUGUCAAGUCGGAUGUGAAAUCCCCGGGCUCAACCUGGGAACUGCAUUCGAAACUGGCAGGCUUGAGUCUUGUAGAGGGGGGUAGAAUUCCAGGUGUAGCGGUGAAAUGCGUAGAGAUCUGGAGGAAUACCGGUGGCGAAGGCGGCCCCCUGGACAAAGACUGACGCUCAGGUGCGAAAGCGUGGGGAGCAAACAGGAUUAGAUNNNNNNNNNNNNNNNNNNNNCCCUGGUAGUCCACGCCGUAAACGAUGUCUACUUGGAGGUUGUGCCCUUGAGGCGUGGCUUCCGGAGCUAACGCGUUAAGUAGACCGCCUGGGGAGUACGGCCGCAAGGUUAAAACUCAAAUGAAUUGACGGGGGCCCGCACAAGCGGUGGAGCAUGUGGUUUAAUUCGAUGCAACGCGAAGAACCUUACCUGGUCUUGACAUCCACGGAAGUUUUCAGAGAUGAGAAUGUGCCUUCGGGAACCGUGAGACAGGUGCUGCAUGGCUGUCGUCAGCUCGUGUUGUGAAAUGUUGGGUUAAGUCCCGCAACGAGCGCAACCCUUAUCCUUUGUUGCCAGCGGUCCGGCCGGGAACUCAAAGGAGACUGCCAGUGAUAAACUGGAGGAAGGUGGGGAUGACGUCAAGUCAUCAUGGCCCUUACGACCAGGGCUACACACGUGCUACAAUGGCGCAUACAAAGAGAAGCGACCUCGCGAGAGCAAGCGGACCUCAUAAAGUGCGUCGUAGUCCGGAUUGGAGUCUGCAACUCGACUCCAUGAAGUCGGAAUCGCUAGUAAUCGUGGAUCAGAAUGCCACGGUGAAUACGUUCCCGGGCCUUGUACACACCGCCCGUCACACCAUGGGA